Molecule: ribosomal RNA, 433 nt
Filed under: uncultured bacterium
Lineage: Bacteria
Description: bacterial SSU rRNA
Rfam family: Bacterial small subunit ribosomal RNA
Source: RNAcentral
AUUGAACGCUGGCGGAAUGCUUUACACAUGCAAGUCGAACGGCAGCACGGGGCAACCUGGUGGCGAGUGGCGAACGGUGAGUAAUACAUCGGAACGUGCCCAAUCGUGGGGGAUAACGUAGCGAAAGUUACGCUAAUACCGCAUACGAUCUACGGAUGAAAGCGGGGGAUCGCAAGACCUCGCGCGAGUGGAGCGGCCGAUGUCAGAUUAGGUAGUUGGUGGGUAAAGGCUCACCAAGCCAACGAUCUGUAGCUGGUCUGAGAGGACGACCAGCCACACUGGAACUGAGACACGGUCCAGACUCCUACGGAGGCAGCAGUGGGGAAUUUUGGACAAUGGGCGCAAGCCUGAUCCAGCCAUUCCGCGUGCAGGAUGAAGGCCUCGGUUGUGAACUGCUUUGUACGGUAACGAAACGGACGAGGCUCUAAUACAG